GUCUGGCUGGCUCAGUCAGUGGAGCAUGAGACUCUUGAUCUCAGGGUUGUGGGUUCGAGCCCCACGUGGGGUG
Molecule: transfer RNA, 73 nt
Filed under: Ailuropoda melanoleuca (giant panda)
Lineage: Eukaryota; Metazoa; Chordata; Mammalia; Carnivora; Ursidae
Rfam family: tRNA
About the family: Transfer RNA (tRNA) molecules are approximately 80 nucleotides in length.
Source: Rfam by way of RNAcentral